AAGCGCACGUAGGCGGCUUUGUAAGUAAGAGGUGAAAGCCCAGAGCUCAACUCUGGAAUUGCCUUUUAGACUGCAUCGCUUGAAUCAUGGAGAGGUCAGUGGAAUUCCGAGUGUAGAGGUGAAAUUCGUAGAUAUUCGGAAGAACACCAGUGGCGAAGGCGGCUGACUGGACAUGUAUUGACGCUGAGGUGCGAAAGCGUGGGGAGCAAACAGGAUUAGAUACCCCGGGU
Molecule: ribosomal RNA, 230 nt
Filed under: uncultured bacterium
Lineage: Bacteria
Description: partial 16S ribosomal RNA
Rfam family: Bacterial small subunit ribosomal RNA
Source: RNAcentral